Molecule: long non-coding RNA, 443 nt
Organism: Scylla paramamosain (green mud crab)
Lineage: Eukaryota; Metazoa; Arthropoda; Malacostraca; Decapoda; Portunidae
Exons: 2
Source: RefSeq, a predicted model, not a curated record
UGUGGCCGCGCUGCUGCACCCGCGUGGCGGCCCCCGUCAGGUCCUCCACUGUGGUGAGCAACUCCCCCAUCCUGCGGCAUCAUCAGCACACUCAUGAAGCACACAUUGCACAUCUGUGGUGACUUGUUAUACAAUGAGAUAACAAACAAACAACACAACACCUUUCCGUGGCCUGCUCCAGGAGGUCGGAGAGGUUCCUGCGGGUCUGGGGCGCCUCCUGCUCCACGGUGGAGGUCUGAUGGCCGCAGUGGAGAGUAGCCAGGCAGGCAGCGCAGAGGGGCUCCUGACACCCGCGGCACCACCACCCGACUUCCCCCUCGCCGUGGGUGGAGCAGACCAGAGUGUGGGCCACCUCCCGGAUACCGUGAAUCCUCGCCUCCUGCAGAAAAAGAAAGGUAAUAAUUGCACUGUGAUCAGAGUAAUGUAUUCUAUAGAGUUCAAAA